GAUGAAGAACGUAGCGAAAUGCGAUAAGUAGUGUGAAUUGCAGAAUUCAGUGAAUCAUCGAAUCUUUGAACGCACAUUGCGCCCCUUGGUAUUCCAUGGGGCAUGCCUGUUCGAGCGUUAUUUGUACCUUCAAGCUCUGCUUGGUGUUGGGUGUUUGUCUCGCCUUGCGCGUAGACUCGCCUUAAAACAAUUGGCAGCCGGCGUAUUGAUUUCGGAGCGCAGUACAUCUCGCGCUUUGCACUCAUAACGACGACGUCCAAAAGUACUUUUUACACUCUUGACCUCGGAUCAGGUAGGGAUACCCGCUGAACUUAAGCAUAUCAAUAAGCGGAGGA
RNAcentral lists this unclassified non-coding RNA (335 nucleotides) under soil metagenome. RNAcentral describes it as "partial contains 5.8S ribosomal RNA, internal transcribed spacer 2, and large subunit ribosomal RNA". The stretch from base 1 to 120 matches the Rfam family "5.8S ribosomal RNA", at positions 35 to 154 of the family's 154-position model. The record is from RNAcentral.